This 2528-nucleotide long non-coding RNA is filed under the name Panax ginseng (ginseng). RNAcentral describes it as "long non-coding RNA (PGIN_LNC001263)". Lineage: Eukaryota; Viridiplantae; Streptophyta; Magnoliopsida; Apiales; Araliaceae. The record is from RNAcentral.
UUUCACUUUGAGAGAUUAAUAGUCCUUCGUCAAAGGAUAAAAUAGUCCGAAGUUGUGAUAAAUUAAGACAAAAUAGUUUAAUCUCAAGCAUACUUUUUGCAAACAAACAUAACCUAAAGAGUUAUAUGAAGUAUUCAGAUAUUUUGUAUUAUUUUCUAUUUGGAGAUGGCCCUGGAUUGGGCUUGUUAUUGAAUUUGGCGUUGUGUUGGGUCAGUAGUCAACUCUAUAUCACCCUGUUAAGGUAAUUUACAUUUCUACAUAUCAACAUACAUAGGUUGGCAGUAUCUCAUGUCCAGAUUUCAUUCCAGCACUGGGAACAAUAAACAUACAUGAAUUCUAGAAAUGUUACAUAUAUUUCCAUAGUGAACUUUACCUUAGUGGCACUAAUUCUCUUAGAUGAGCUAUACUAUAUUCUACUAAGUUAGAAAGGGUUUGCAGUAACUAUUAGUGUAUGCUCCUUUUCUCAUGCAAUCACAUGCCUAUUGCUUGUGCAGCUGUGUCUACUCUAUAGUUUUUUUCUUCCCAAAAGGUAAACAACUUUUGCAGUUUGAAAUUUGGAUAGUGCUCCCCUCAUUUGAAAUCUAGCGCCAUUCUUUUCUAGCAAUUGGACCCUAGGUAUACGUAAGUUCCUCUUCUAUCCCCUUGCAUCUAAUAUCCACAAUUUUAGAAUUGGAAAACCAUGCAUAUCCCAAAAAUCAAAUUUGCCUUAUCUCCACGCUUAUUUAAUGUUUGCAUUGGAGCUUGCAUACUUUAUUUCCUCUAAGACGGUGAAAGAUGUCUAUUUUUUCUCAUACUUUAUCCAUUUAACUUCAAAAACACUGGUGAAGCAUAUUAAACUAAGUUUACAAGGUUCUCAUCCAGAAUCUUAUCUCUUCUUCCUAGACCGUAGGGGUUUGAACUUGAAACUCAAAACUGAAAUAAAAGGUGAAAGUACGCAUUUUGUGAGGUAAUAAAUUUGAGAAAAUUCAACAGAGAGGUCCCAUUUUUUAUUAGUCUAAGAUAAAACAUAGACUUAGUUAAUAAGAUAAUUUUAUUUAAAAUCAUAACUCCCUCCUUUCUGAAAUUAGAGAUAUAUUCUGAUUUUAUGUCUGUUCUAAACUAGAGAUAUAUUUCUAUUUAUAUAUAGUGAUAGUAUGUUACUAAUUUGCCUUUUUUUAUUAUCAUAUCUAGCAUUACACAACCACCAUUAAAUUCUUAGCUAAUAUUUUAAAAUUCAAUCAUUUUAAAAAUAUAUCUCUAAUUUUGGAAUGAAAAUAUUAUCAAAUAAGCCAUGACAACUAGGGAAAGUAUGUUGUUUUUCUCGGAAUAAAAGAUUAGAAGUUUUUUGAACAAACAACAAAGUGCAGCCAAUUUUGAGAUCUUUCCCCUUGAAAAUUGUUUCUUCCAUUCAACUUUACUAGUUGGUUCAAGAUACUAAUCUUAAUACUUCACCAAUCAGGAACUCACCAUUCCAUUUUUGUUUGUGAGCUUUCCAUUGCUUGAUAUCUGUAAUGUGCUGAAAUAUAACAAAAUAUAUGGUCCAGGUAUGAGAAAGUACAUGUUGCUUGUUACAUAGUUAAUUUAGACAUAAUUGGUUUUUGAAAUUAAAAAAAAGAAAAAAGAAAAAAUUUCUUUGUUUAGUAUUCAUGUAUCUUAAGUACUUGAUUAAUACGAGUAACAAUUCUUUUUAUCUGUGAUUUAUGGCCUUAGAAAUCAUACAUGUCUAAUAUGAUCAGUAUAUCUUUUUUCUGAUUUUACAUUGUAUAUAUGUAUGCAUGUUUGGUACUGCAUUUCUUGUAUAUCUGGUAGUGUUCAACAUGGAUACAAAUACUCUAAAUAAACCUAUUCCUCCAUCUGAAACAAGUAUGACAAUAUUUAGCAUUUAGAAGGUUUUACCACUACUUCUUUUUCUUUUAUAGUUGCACAUAAUCCUCAAUCAUGGAUUAUAGACACUGGUAUUACUAACUACAUGUGUCACCAUAUUAGUCUCAUGCAUUACUUAAUCACUUUAUCUCAUUAUGUUUAUGUUUCCUUGUCCACAAAUGUACAAAUUAAGGUUAAUUAAGAAUGUUUUGUAGACUUAACUCUUGAUUUGACCAUUUAUAAUGUUUUUCUUGUUCCAGUAUUUCAUUAUAAUCUAGUUUUAGUUAGCAUGUUGACCCAGACUUCUAAGUGUCAAGCCUUGUUUCUUCACUUCGAAUGCCUAUUUCAGGACCUGAGCAUGAUGGCAAUUAUUGAAGUUAGUGAAGAGAAGGCAGGAUUAUAUGAACUACAUGCUCCUUCUUUCAAUAAAGAUGUUGCGCCUAAUCUUGUUUUCCUUGAAGUGGACCUAACAUGAUUUACAUUUCAUUCCUUCUAGCUCGUUGUUAUUUUUUCAGUUUUCUUAUGUUAGUUUUUAAAUAUUAUAAGUAUUAUGAUCCUUGGGAGAUCAAGAUACAAUAACAAAUUCUGUACUUAUUGUGACUUGAGCAUUAUUUAUUUAUAUAUGGAGUAUUAGUUUUAAUUUUUGGCUCUUUAAUGCAGUUUAUCAAUUAGUUUGAAACAAGUAU